AUUGAACGCUGGCGGCAGGCCUAACACAUGCAAGUCGAACGGUAACAGGAAACAGCUUGCUGUUUCGCUGACGAGUGGCGGACGGGUGAGUAAUGUCUGGGAAACUGCCUGAUGGAGGGGGAUAACUACUGGAAACGGUAGCUAAUACCGCAUAACGUCGCAAGACCAAAGAGGGGGACCUUCGGGCCUCUUGCCAUCGGAUGUGCCCAGAUGGGAUUAGCUAGUAGGUGGGGUAACGGCUCACCUAGGCGACGAUCCCUAGCUGGUCUGAGAGGAUGACCAGCCACACUGGAACUGAGACACGGUCCAGACUCCUACGGGAGGCAGCAGUGGGGAAUAUUGCACAAUGGGCGCAAGCCUGAUGCAGCCAUGCCGCGUGUAUGAAGAAGGCCUUCGGGUUGUAAAGUACUUUCAGCGGGGAGGAAGGGAGUAAAGUUAAUACCUUUGCUCACUGACGUUACCCGCAGAAGAAGCACCGGCUAACUCCGUG
RNAcentral lists this ribosomal RNA (490 nucleotides) under uncultured bacterium. RNAcentral's name for it is "partial 16S ribosomal RNA". It matches the Rfam family "Bacterial small subunit ribosomal RNA", at positions 30 to 507 of the family's 1533-position model. The record is from RNAcentral.